AGUGAACGCUGGCGGUAGGCCUAACACAUGCGAGUCGAACGGCAGCACAGUAAGAGCUUGCUCUUACGGGUGGCGAGUGGCGGACGGGUGAGGAAUACAUCGGAAUCUACUUUUUCGUGGGGGAUAACGUAGGGAAACUUACGCUAAUACCGCAUACGACCUACGGGUGAAAGCAGGGGAUCUUCGGACCUUGCGCGAUUGAAUGAGCCGAUGUCGGAUUAGCUAGUUGGCGGGGUAAAGGCCCACCAAGGCGAUGAUCCGUAGCUGGUCUGAGAGGAUGAUCAGCCACACUGGAACUGAGACACGGUCCAGACUCCUACGGGAGGCAGCAGUGGGGAAUAUUGGACAAUGGGCGCAAGCCUGAUCCAGCCAUACCGCGUGGGUGAAGAAGGCCUUCGGGUUGUAAAGCCCUUUUGUUGGGAAAGAAAAGCAGCAGGUUAAUACCCCGCUGUUCUGACGGUACCCAAAGAAUAAGCACCGGCUAACUUCGUG
This 492-nucleotide ribosomal RNA is filed under the name uncultured bacterium. RNAcentral describes it as "partial 16S ribosomal RNA". It matches the Rfam family "Bacterial small subunit ribosomal RNA", at positions 29 to 507 of the family's 1533-position model. The record is from RNAcentral.